Molecule: non-coding RNA, 66 nt
Filed under: Chlorobium phaeovibrioides DSM 265
Lineage: Bacteria; Pseudomonadati; Chlorobiota; Chlorobiia; Chlorobiales; Chlorobiaceae
Description: Chlorobi-1 RNA
Rfam family: Chlorobi-1 RNA
Source: Rfam by way of RNAcentral
GAAAUUCCUCACGCCAGUGAGGUUGAGUUGGUGUAAUGGGGGACACCAACUCUCAGAGAGACGGCU